RNAcentral lists this long non-coding RNA (1147 nucleotides) under Pogona vitticeps (central bearded dragon). Its description in RNAcentral is "lncRNA (ENSPVIG00000020402.1)". Lineage: Eukaryota; Metazoa; Chordata; Lepidosauria; Squamata; Agamidae. The record is from RNAcentral.
AUGCAUUUUUUCUGUAUAUUUCACACUUAUAUCUCUGCAUGUGAAGAUGGGUUACACAGCGCUGGACUCGAUACACUGCACAUAUGGGUGAAUUGAGAGGCCCACCGGUACCAUCACAGCAUGAUCACCACUGCUGAAAUCAGGUGCAGAACCAAACUGAUAUCAUUUAGAGCAGAGACACCUGAAGACCAGUGGCACAUAGGCUCUCUCUGUGACAGAUACUGAGGAGUUACACAGUGCCUGAAUAUAACACUAUAUGAAUUUUAUGAAGGAAGGACAAUGUGAUGUGCAGAAGUACCAUUUCUCUCUUCUGACCAACCAAAGUUGCUGGAAGUACUUCGUUGUUGUUUUUGCUUGAAAUCUGUGUGCAAAAAGCAGUUUUCUAGAGAUUGUUCUCAGAGGUUGAAAUUAUCGUAAUCAUAGAAGGAGUCUCCCCUCAGAGUGAGAAAGCAUUGUGAGUACAGUUGGACGUGCAGCUGGCCAAUCCUUCCCUUGAUUUUGAAUUCUGCAACACACUGAUAGAAAGAAAGAAAGAAAGAAAGAAAGAAAGAAAGAAAGAAAGAAAGAAAGAAAGAAAGAAAGAAAGAAAGAAAGAAAGAAAGAAAGAAAGAAAGAAAGAAAGAAAGAAAGAAAGAAAGAAGGUCGUUUUAGAAUGGCAGGGCUAGAAGGGACCCUAUGAAUCAAGUACAUCCACUCAAGGAGGCACACUGGGACAUUGAACUCCCAACCUCCAGCUCUACAUAUACUACUAAACUGGCAGUCCUCGGGUUUAUUCUCUGAGUACAGAACCGUGAAAGCAGAAGUUGGAAAUGGAGAUACUUCCACUCUUUAUGAAGUUGGUAAGAGGAGAAAGCCAAGAAAUAUAUACCGGGUCUCAUCUUGAAUUGUUUUGAUGUUAAGAAAGCAUCCAUGAUUCAUUCAGCAGGGUGGGUCUGACUCAAGGUCUACCUUAUUGUGUACUUCAUGUCUCUAAAAGCUAACACAUUACAGAGAAAAGGGUGCCAAGUCAACACAAAGGGGAGGUGAAGGACUGAUGAGAAAAAAACAAGAUGUAUUCAUAUUUCUUAAUAGUUCUGUGCAAACUCUCCAAAAGCUCAAAUGAGAUAUGGACUGUUUUAAAUGAGGAGGCUCCCUCAUUGUUUGCAAA